UGUCGGCUCAUCGCAUCCUGGGGCUGAAGCAGAUCCCAAGGGUCCGGCUGUUCGCUGGUUAAAUCGGUCUCUAUCCGUCGUGGGCGUCCGGAGAUUUGAGGGGGGCUCUCUCUAGUACGAGAGGAUCGAGAGGGACAGACCUAUGGUGUGCCAGUUGUCUCGCCAGAGGCAUCGCUGGGUAG
This 182-nucleotide ribosomal RNA is filed under the name Deltaproteobacteria bacterium. RNAcentral's name for it is "partial 23S ribosomal RNA". It matches the Rfam family "Bacterial large subunit ribosomal RNA", at positions 2530 to 2748 of the family's 2925-position model. Lineage: Bacteria; Pseudomonadati; Myxococcota; Myxococcia. The record is from RNAcentral.